This 499-nucleotide ribosomal RNA is filed under the name Sphingomonas sp. RNAcentral's name for it is "bacterial SSU rRNA". It matches the Rfam family "Bacterial small subunit ribosomal RNA", at positions 842 to 1342 of the family's 1533-position model. The record is from RNAcentral. Lineage: Bacteria; Pseudomonadati; Pseudomonadota; Alphaproteobacteria; Sphingomonadales; Sphingomonadaceae.
GGUGGCGCAGCUAACGCAUUAAGUUAUCCGCCUGGGGAGUACGGCCGCAAGGUUAAAACUCAAAGGAAUUGACGGGGGCCUGCACAACGGUGGAGCAUGUGGUUUAAUUCGAAGCAACGCGCAGAACCUUACCAGCGUUUGACAUGGUAGGACGACUUCCAGAGAUGGAUUUCUUCCCUUCGGGGACCUACACACAGGUGCUGCAUGGCUGUCGUCAGCUCGUGUCGUGAGAUGUUGGGUUAAGUCCCGCAACGAGCGCAACCCUCGACUUUAGUUACCAUCAUUAAGUUGGGUACUUUAAAGUAACCGCCGGUGAUAAGCCGGAGGAAGGUGGGGAUGACGUCAAGUCCUCAUGGCCCUUACGCGCUGGGCUACACACGUGCUACAAUGGCAAGUACAGUGGGCAGCAAUCCCGCGAGGGUGAGCUAAUCUCCAAAACUUGUCUCAGUUCGGAUUGUUCUCUGCAACUCGAGAGCAUGAAGGCGGAAUCGCUAGUAAU